This is a long non-coding RNA of Cercocebus atys (sooty mangabey), 1241 nucleotides long. RefSeq lists it as uncharacterized. Lineage: Eukaryota; Metazoa; Chordata; Mammalia; Primates; Cercopithecidae. The transcript has a single exon. The record is from RefSeq and is a predicted model, not a curated record.
AUGCGCGUGGCAGUGUUGCUGCCGGGUCCUGACGCCAGCAGCGUGAGCCUGCGUAGUAGGCACCGCCCCUCUGUCCGCGAGUCUAGAGAGCAGGGCGCGGAGGCGCAGGGUGGGGCUCGGGUGGGCAGGGACGGGCGGGGUCGGUGCCCGCGAUCCCUGCGAUCGUCCGGAGAUGAUGGUGAAGACCUGAGAUUUAGGCCUGCGCGGCGGAGGACGAUGCCGGUCCAGGUCUUCACGGGAGGACGCCGGCCAGGGCCUUCAGGCGUUCGCGUGUCUUGAAGAGGCGCGUCCCCGAGGAUGUGCGUGCCCGUGAGAGCAUGCGCGUGCCCGCGCCGCGCGGGUCCCACAGGAGCCUGGGCAGCCCCGCCGCCGCAUUUCCAUCCUGCGGCCGUGUUUCCACCCGGCUGGGCGCCUAGCCCGGGGUGCCUGCACUCUCGGGCAUCACUGCGCGCUCACACUCAGCAUUCAGGCACGAGCAGCUUCUCUUUAUAAGAACAGUUUGGAAUCUUGUCAGAUCUUUCUAGAAGGUUGAAAUGCCCUGGAAGAGCAGCGUGAAUAGUUUUUUCCAAUUAGGAAAAAAGAAUGUGGGGCGGCUGGAGGGGGAGAGGCAGGCGUGGCCGAGAAGGCCAGGUGAUUCCGGGAGCCGCAGCCCCUGUGCCUCAGUUUCCUCCCAGAAACAUGGAGGUGGCGGUGAGCUCUACAGGAUUUCUAUGAGAACAAAUGAGUUAGCGUGUGCAAAACAUUUAAAACAGCGUCUGGUGUGUAGCAAGCAAAUAUGAGUAUUAGUCUUUUCCUUGUUAAAAAUGUGUGCAUCUACAUUUGGUGCACAUUACAGGAAAUGUAUAGUAUGGAUUCGUAUUUUGGAAAAGUAAUUUUAGAAGUUAUUUCUGAUGUGCUUAUUAUAAUGUUUCUUGACCACGUUUUUAAAUAAUGUGAAGGCAAUGAAGUAGGCAAUACUGCUUGCACAUCCCCAAUUUAAACACCUGUCUGUCCCUCCCUCGCUCUCCUUUUUCUUCCUUUCCCUCUCUCUCUAUUCCUUCCUUCAUUCCUUUCAAGGUUGCAGAUUAUUCCGUUAUAUAAAUGUAUCAAUUUAUUCGAAUAGUCUCUAUGACGUCUACGAUGGGCUUUAGAAUGUUUGCAAUAGUUUGCCAUUAUAAAUAAUGCUCAGGAGCUCUGUGAUUUAACUUGUGAAGGUGUAUUUACAAAUAAAUCUAUGAUUGGAUUGUUGUGUAAACCAAAAA